RNAcentral lists this non-coding RNA (221 nucleotides) under Domibacillus aminovorans. RNAcentral describes it as "Bacillus aminovorans T-box sequence". It matches the Rfam family "T-box leader". Rfam says of the family: Uncharged tRNA acts as the effector for transcription antitermination of genes in the T-box leader family. T-boxes are found upstream of many aminoacyl-tRNA synthetase genes and some amino acid biosynthetic genes usually in Gram-positive bacteria. The record is from RNAcentral. Lineage: Bacteria; Bacillati; Bacillota; Bacilli; Caryophanales; Bacillaceae.
UGAAACGCGAUGAAGGAAACGAGUAGCAUGCUUUUUUUCUAAAAGAGAGCCGGUGGAUGGUGCAAACCGGUGUGAAAAACAUGUGAAUCCAUUCUGGAGCGGAGUGCUGAACUUAAUAAGAGUAGGCAUUUUCCGGCGCAGGCCGUUAAAACGAAGUUGAGAGGAAAGCAGUGUGCUUUCAAUCUGGGUGGUAACGCGGAAUAUAAACUUCCGUCCCUUUU